AAGUUUGACGACAAGAGGUACCGCAUAUUAUUAAUAAUAAUUAUUAAAUAGUAAAAUAUCUAAUAUUUUUUCUUUUUAUAAGGCGGUGACACAUAAUCGGAGGCCCCGACUGUUUACUAAAAACACAGAUCACAGCAAUCAUGUAAAUGAUAGUAUUGUGGUCGAAAUUUGCCCGAUGCCAUUAAUAUAAGAGAGGUUAUAGUUUCUGUGACUAAUCGAAAGUCUGGUUAAUAGCGGUCUUAACUAUGAGGAUCCUAAGGUAGCAAAAUAAAUUGGCCAUUAAAUGUGGUCCGGUAUCAAUAAUGUAACGAGGGCCUCACUGUCUCUACAACUUGCUCAGUGAAAUUGAAUUACCCGUGCAGAUGCGGGUUACCUCCAGGGGGACGGGAAGACCCUAUGCAGCUUUACUGUAGUUAGUUAUCAUAUUAAUCUACAACAACCUUUGUUACUAGAGAAUAGGUAAGUCGAUAGACUAUUUGUGGAAACCUUAAAACUUAGGUUGGGUUAAUGUUUACCUUUAUAUAAAAUAAAAACUUAAAAGGGAGAGGUUACUAAUUGGCAGUUUGACUGGGGCGGUCGUCUUUAAUAAAGUAGCAAAGUACAUCCAAAUAUUUAAAUUAUUAUAAUGUUUAAGUUUAAAUUUAGUUUCUGAAUUUAAAUUAUUUUACAUUUCAAACAAAUAAAAUAUAAAAUAAUAUUAUAUUUUUUAUAUUAAUAUCUUUCAUAUACUUUUGUAUAUAGUAAAGAAAUACACAAAAAAUUAAAAAAGGUAUAGCUAGAAAUUGAAUGGAGAUCAAUCAACCAGUGAAAGGUUGUGCAGGGCUCAAUGGCGGUAAGCAUGCUUAACUGAAAGACCUAAAAGUCGCACAGAUACGUAAGUAGGGCAUAGUGACCCCUCGCUAUAAUAUGGGAUAGACGGGGAUCAAUUGAUAAAAGUUACGCUAGGGAUAACAGGCUGAUAGCCGACGAGAGUACACAUUGUCUCGGCUGAUUGGCACCUUAUGAACAAAAUAAAUAAAUAUAUUAACGCACACAAGAUUACUCUUAAAUUUAAAAUUAAAAGUGAUAUAGGUAAUAUAGAUAUUUAUGACAUUGGGGAAUUUUAAUAGAAAUAUUAACUUAGAAUUUGGCUAUUUGCUGGAACACCCUUAGAGCUAUCAAUACUUAUUUUUUUAGUAAUAAAAUUAUUUCAUUUUUUUAAUGAUUUAAUAAGUGAAAAUUUGAUAGAUUGGGCAAUCAGCAGGGAAGUGAUUAAAUUUAGAUGUAAGUAAUUGUAAAAUUUCUCACCCCUCAACGAUCACACGCCAACAACCAGAGCUUUUCCAAUUUACUCUUGGAACUGGUUGAAGAUAUGAUCU
This 1358-nucleotide ribosomal RNA is filed under the name Pleurotus platypus. RNAcentral describes it as "LSU rRNA". The stretch from base 1 to 1046 matches the Rfam family "Bacterial large subunit ribosomal RNA", at positions 1732 to 2925 of the family's 2925-position model. Lineage: Eukaryota; Fungi; Basidiomycota; Agaricomycetes; Agaricales; Pleurotaceae. The record is from RNAcentral.